GACGAACGCUGGCGGCGUGCCUAAUACAUGCAAGUCGAACGCACUCUCGUUUAGAUUGAAGGAGCUUGCUCCUGAUUGAUAAACAUUUGAGUGAGUGGCGGACGGGUGAGUAACACGUGGGUAACCUGCCCUAAAGUGGGGGAUAACAUUUGGAAACAGAUGCUAAUACCGCAUAAAACCUAACACCGCAUGGUGUAGGGUUGAAAGAUGGUUUCGGCUAUCACUUUAGGAUGGACCCGCGGUGCAUUAGUUAGUUGGUGAGGUAAAGGCUCACCAAGACCGUGAUGCAUAGCCGACCUGAGAGGGUAAAUCGGCCACACUGGGACUGAGACACGGCCCAGACUCCUACGGGAGGCAGCAGUAGGGAAUCUUCCACAAUGGACGAAAGUCUGAUGGAGCAACGCCGCGUGAGUGAAGAAGUUUUCGGAUCGUAAAACUCUGUUGUUGGAGAAGAAUGUAUCUGAUAGUAACUGAUCAGGUAGUGACGGUAUCCAACCAGAAAGCCAC
RNAcentral lists this ribosomal RNA (507 nucleotides) under uncultured bacterium. RNAcentral describes it as "bacterial SSU rRNA". It matches the Rfam family "Bacterial small subunit ribosomal RNA", at positions 28 to 494 of the family's 1533-position model. The record is from RNAcentral.